RNAcentral lists this long non-coding RNA (5564 nucleotides) under Sus scrofa (pig). RNAcentral's name for it is "lncRNA (ENSSSCG00005011028.1)". Lineage: Eukaryota; Metazoa; Chordata; Mammalia; Artiodactyla; Suidae. The record is from RNAcentral.
AAAUGCUAAAGUGUGGCAUUGUCUGAAAGUAAAACAGUGCACAAAAAUAAAAAAGAAGAAACUUUAAAAAUCGGCCAUAUUCCCAGAAGGUUCAUCUAAUGGCUGAGUAUUUAAGCGGCAUACAUUCUUCCAAAGUAAUGCAUUUUUAUUUACAUGUGUGUCUGUGCACAUACUGGAGUGUAGGUAUGUGAUAUAUUUAACUUUAUAUAGUGAGUCACUUAUUUAUACAGCACUACAUAUUCCUUUUUUUUAAACCUCACAUUAUAUUAAGCUUUUUUUGGUCAAUAAAAUUUUUCAAAAAUAUAAUUUAAGGCUGUGCAGUGCAUGACUCUGUUUAAUGCAUUUAAUUCAUUUACUCAUUUUUCUGCUAUUGAUUCCUUGCAGUUUUAUAAAUAAUGGAGGUGCUUGCAUUUCGAAUAUCAUUAUUGCAGUGCUUAAACAUACGUAGUUCCAUUUCUUUUUGCCUUAUUCCUCCAUUGCCCAGAAUGACUGUUACUGCUGGUCUGUUAAUUUCAAGAUCGCACAUAUAGACUUAAGUCCCAAAGGCAUUUCCCAGCUUGCAGUUAAAAGGGCAAACCUGUCCAUCCUGAGAAAAUAUUUUACUCUGAGCAUUUCUAGUUGAAGGAAAAGAGCUUACAGAAAUUAAUUUUGAUAAGCAUAUUUCAUCUCUUACCUUAUUGGGCUGUUGAUUUAUGAAUUCAAUGCAAGUGUAGGAAAAACAAAAGUACAAAAGUCUAUCUGUAUAUCUGUAUCCAUAUUUAUGUUGCUAGGUCUCUCCUCUCGCUAUUUCUUCAAUCUGCCCCUCCCCUACCAUUCUGUGGUUACUUUAACAUUAACAUUUUGGUGCUUAUCACUUCACACUUUAGUUUUGGCUUAUAUAUAAAUGAUUAAAUAAGGUGCUCCACUCCCGGGAAAAAAAUCUGGAGUUUUAUGAUCCCUAUUAUUUUCUAACAGCCUCCUCCCACUCACUUCUAUAUCAUGAUCAACCCUAUGGUUAGAUGUAUGUAUCUAAUUCGUUCUUCUCAAUAGCAUACAAUAAUACACCAUUGUGCCCUAGGUGAGGUUCAACCUUUCCACUGCUUUUGUGCCCACUGGCUCCUGGUGUGCUUUCUCUUCAACCAGCCAGCACCUGUUUCUCUCUAAAGGGCUUGGCUCCAGCUGCCAGAGCCAGCCUUAGAGCCGGGGACAAGUGACAGACGGGUUCAGGGAGUUACCUGAGACAACAAUGGAUGUGACUCCAGCAGUCUCCAGAACUUCUCUAUGUGAUGAGCCAGUUACGGCUGUGGGAUGCUGCUUAAAAUUGCACAGCGGCCAGCCUCCCUUCCCUGUCCCUGUUCCCCGGCUGCUUUUCCUUGAAGUUCUUCCCAAUAAAUCACUUUUAUAAAAAUCUCAUCUCAGGGCUCAUUUCUGGGGAACUCAGUCUAAAACACAAAGUGUGUCUUUGCUUUCUUCCCUUUUAAUGGGCAUUUAAGCAGUUUCUGCUUUUGGACCUUACAACCUUUUCUUCAUCGUUCAACCCUGUACACAUAUCCUUACAUAUGGCUGUUUUCCUUUGUUGCAGGAUAGAUGCUUAGUAAAAGAGCUGAUAUAGUUUUUAAACUUUAAUAGACAAAGUCGGAAGAAAAUCCAGAAAAUAUUGGCCGAAAUGCAUACUCCUUCCAACAAUAGAUGAAUGUGUCUGCCUGUUUUAAUAUACAUUCACCACAUCAGGUAUUAAUAAUUUUUAAACAUUUUCUUCCUCUGAUAAGUCAAAAAUGGUUUGGGUGAAAAUCCUUAUUUACCUGAUUCUUUGAGAAGUUGAGCCUCCUUUCACAUGUAUUUUGUUUUUAUGUCAGUUGGAUUUGCCAGUAGUUUCGCCAUUCACAUUAUCUUCAUGAGCUGGCAGCCUCUUUCAUACUGGGUGUGCUCCUUUGUUUUUCUUAUCAAUUUGUGGGAUAUGUUUAUACCGGGAUAUCUCAGUUCUCUGUCUACAUGUAUGUUGUAACUAUGUGCCGCCAGUUGUCAUCUGUUUGGACUUUGUUUUAAAAAUCAUUUAGAAGGAGAGGCAGAUAAAAAUACUGAGGCUGUUUCUAAGGAAACAACCUCGGCUUGGGAACCGUGCCUGCCUGUUUGCUUCGCCGCGUGUUGAUGUACACAUUUGUGAAUCAUAUGCAUCGUUCCUAUUUGGGUCAGUGUGCACAACUGAGUAAGUGCAGACAGUCCUAUUUAUAGGACUACGCUUUAGGAAUUCCCACAACAAAGCUUUUAGCAUCAGUCCUGCAGGCUGUCCCACUUACAGCUUUGUGUUUCACAUCAAGACAUGCGAGGAGGGAAACCGAUCAGAGGCCUGGCUGUCCAAGUGUGUGGUUAUCCGGCACUUGUGAGAAAAUGAGCUUCCACCGGAAAACGUGAGAGGAUCAACUCCACCGUGCCAUACACAUCACCUCAUUUACACCCUUCCGCAGAGACAGGAGCUCCCAAGUUAAAUUUUAGGCUUGAAUUAUCUGUUGUGAUAGUUUAUAUUGAUUAAAUGAUUAGCAGCACAUGUGCACAGGCCCCCAUACCUCCCUCCACACCCACCCUAUGCUGUUCAGUUCCCUCUCACAGUUAACCUGAGCAAAGAAAUAGAAACAUUCUUUCUUGCAUCUUGGGCUCCUUUGUGCUGGUCACCUUUUAUUUCCUUUCUAAACCAUUUAUCAUUUUCCAUAUUAUUAUUUCCUGUGCCUCUCUGCUUAGUUUUAAUAAUUAGAAUUAUAAAAAUAUUUGCUUUUCAAAACAAAUAGAUGUCUACAUAAUGAACAGUUUUUGCAAAGUAUGCUUUUUUUUUUUCCCUUUGGAAUAAAGUGUUAAAAAAUACAAAGUAGUAUGUAUGCAAAGAGUAUUUAAGCUAUGGUUUCCUGUUGUGGUGCAGAGGGUUAAUGAUCCAGCAUUGUCUCUGUGGCUGCAUGGGUUUGAUCUCUGGACCCAAAGCAAUGGGUUAAGGAUUCGACAGACACUGCCACAGCUGUGGUGCAGUUCGAAGUUGUGGCUCAGACUCAGUCCCUGGCCCAGCAACUUCUCUGUGCUGUGGGUGGGGCUGUAAAAAAAAAAAAAGAAUAUUUAAGCUAAAUAAUAUUUAAGCAAUGAAUUUCUGUAUCUAUUUUGUACACACACACACACACACACACACACACACACACACACACACACACCGCCACCAAGAUCAUCAUUUAAAUCUCCAAAUUUUUCAAAGCAUCUUUGGCCUUGGGGUUGUCGAAUGUGCUUUUAUUGAUCUCUUUUUCAACUCAUGCACAUAAAGUUUUCUUCCCCCCUCACAAGAAAGGAGCAACCCUGUGAUGUAUACAUUUCCUAAUUAAAGCUUAAAUCUAGUUCCCAGCAAUUGCGCUUCUGAAAUGUUGGAACCACAGAGUGAAAUAUUUUUAACUUUUUCCAUCUAUCACACUGGUUUUUGGGUUUCUGGUAAUGUCAGCCAGAAAAGUAUCUGAAUUAGGAGCAUUUUUCAUAGAGACUUCUACUACAUUUCUUAAAUGGGUAAGUUAGUAUUAAAGUUAUCACUGGAAUUUAUCCCAAAAUGUAAUUGAAUUUCUUAAAUUGGUUUUAGGGUACAGUUCUUAGUUGUUCUGUUCAGAUAUGAACUCUAGGAAAUAAAUAAUGUGGCUCAAGUCACUGUCAAGACAGUGGUAAAAUUUUACGAAGGAAUUAGAUCUUUUAGGAAGUCAAACCCUUUGCCCAGAGAUACUGUCCAUUUGGUAUUUUAAAUGAACCAGGAUGGCAGCGCUGGGUGAAAACAUAUGGAGUUUCACUUUUUGGCAACUAAUUCAUUAUUUCAAAAAAAUGAGUAAAAAAUCUCCUCUUGGAUACCGAAUAGAGUUGGUUAUUUUGCCACUUUAUGGCUGUUUGGGCAAACCCCUUAUUUCAUUACAGCUAAUAGUUCCUCCUUUAAAAUUUUCACUGUAUAUUUUAUAUUCCUUCCCAAAGAAGUACUGUAUUUGUUUUGAAUAGGAACAAAUGUUUUGAUUCUCCUUCUUGACUUUUUUUUUUCCCUUUUUUUGUAGCAUAACUUUUAUGAAACUAGGGCUAUUGUUUUAACAUAACAACACUGAAGGCCACGGCUUUUUGUAUGAACAGUAUGAAAAUGAUACUAUAGCAAAUGAUAAACAAAUGUUAGUCUUUAGUAUGUACCAGGUGUUUUGCCCAGAACCUUAUCAAACAUUACCCCACUUAUUCCUCAUAACACCUAUGAGCACGGGUAGUAUAGUUAUCCUUGUUUUACACAUGUGAAGAAAAAAAAAAUACUAAAACAGGUGGAGUAACCUGGUCAGGCUAAUAGUGUACCUUUGCUAAUAAAGUAAAAUUCUGUAAUUCCUUAUUUGACGUUUAGGACAUCCAGAAAUAUAAAUUCUUUGGAAAGAUGAAGUUAAUGCUUUUUGAUUCUUGCACCAGCUCCAACCAACUGCUCUUACUACAUCUUCUGCUUUUCUUGUGCAAGGAAAUGGUUAACACCAUUCACCUCGAGCAAGAGCCAUUGUAACUGACAAAAAAGGUGAUAUCCAUAAACUUCUAAGUAAUGAGUUAUGCCUCUCUAAUUCAUUGAGCUCUUAUUCCUCUUUAAUAAACCCUGUCUUCAUCACACAAAGGCAAACUUAACCCUAGCCAUGGGUUAUCAUGCCUACCAUUCGCCUGGGUGAACACUUACACAUUCGGAUUUUAUUCUUAGGAGGCUGGACAAGUGCAGUAUGUCAGCAUUUAUGGAGAGGUACCUGCUGUGAGUCUGAAAAUGGAAUCUUGCAUAUUAAUAAUAGUAUAGCUCUGAGUUCUCUGGGGUCUGAUGAAGGAAGCUAAGAACCUUGUUUGUAGAGGAUACUGAGCAGAGAAGUUCAGCCAGGACAGGGCUCAGGUGAGGAGUGCUUCUUUGUUGUUGUCCUUCUUGCCUCAGCAGCCAAGGUUUGGGAGUCACUCUUUUCCCUGUUAAUGGGAGAACUGGGGGCCAGACAUGGAGUUCAAGGUUUUGUCCCUGCUGUUAGGAAUUGAGUUGUGUUGAUUUCUUUGGUGAACUCAUUGGGCAGGUGACAUUAUGAUUUCAUUUCCUAUCUGAGAAGCUUAUAUUAGUAGUAUAGAUUUACGUCACAGGAUAUAUUUUUAAAUUACUUUUGUCUUUGUUGUGGAAUCAAGGUUAUUGACUUAUAAAGCGCAUCAGUCUAUUGGUUGUGAAUUAGCUAAGGCAUCUUGUCCUGGCAGUUGAUGGUCAUGAAGCUUUCAGCUUAGUCUUCUGACUGUAGCUGCUCUUCUGUUGCUAUCAAGAUUCUUCUCAUGGAGUUGUGGCCUCUCGGUAACCAUGAAAAUCAUCCUACAGAAGACAGAAAAAAUUUGGCUUGCCAUACCUACACUGAUUAUAUUGGCCUUUGACCAUUUCUUUCUCUAUAGACUAAUGUAUAAUAAAGCUUUGAAUAUGAUACAUCCAUUGGGGGUUUUGAAAAGCUUUGUAUGAGAAUGCAGCAGGUUGACAAGCUGGAGCAGGUAGUUUUGUGAAACACUGAUAGCAUCAGCCAAGUCUGAAGUAGACCAAGUACAUGGUCAUUGCCCUA